AUUGAACGCUGGCGGCAGGCCUAACACAUGCAAGUCGAGCGGAUGAAGGGAGCUUGCUCCUGGAUUCAGCGGCGGACGGGUGAGUAAUGCCUAGGAAUCUGCCUGGUAGUGGGGGAUAACGUCCGGAAACGGGCGCUAAUACCGCAUACGUCCUGAGGGAGAAAGUGGGGGAUCUUCGGACCUCACGCUAUCAGAUGAGCCUAGGUCGGAUUAGCUAGUUGGUAGGGUAAAGGCCUACCAAGGCGACGAUCCGUAACUGGUCUGAGAGGAUGAUCAGUCACACUGGAACUGAGACACGGUCCAGACUCCUACGGGAGGCAGCAGUGGGGAAUAUUGGACAAUGGGCGAAAGCCUGAUCCAGCAAUGCCGCGUGUGUGAAGAAGGUCUUCGGAUUGUAAAGCACUUUAAGUUGGGAGGAAGAGCAGUGAGUUAAUACCUUGCUGUUUUGACGGUACCAACAGAAUAAGCACCGGCUAACUUCGUG
This 484-nucleotide ribosomal RNA is filed under the name uncultured bacterium. RNAcentral's name for it is "partial 16S ribosomal RNA". It matches the Rfam family "Bacterial small subunit ribosomal RNA", at positions 30 to 507 of the family's 1533-position model. The record is from RNAcentral.